This 309-nucleotide ribosomal RNA is filed under the name Triticum aestivum (bread wheat). RNAcentral's name for it is "partial small subunit ribosomal RNA". The record is from RNAcentral. Lineage: Eukaryota; Viridiplantae; Streptophyta; Magnoliopsida; Poales; Poaceae.
AUGAGCAUGCAAUUUGUGGCACUGAAUAAUUCAGAAAAGCAUGAUGCAUGUGUUCAGAUGGUUAUUGAAAAAGGAUGUCACAUUGUUCCAACGCAGCAUGUAGUGAUACGUAAACAUAGUAGAUGUUAUCUGCAUUCAUUGGUUCAGAUCACAUGGCUCAACAAGAUGGUGCUGCAAAAGCAUGUUAUUUUCGAGAAAUUAGCACCAAAGCCGCAGUGCAAAAAAAACAUCAAAUUGUUAGCAAACCUACCAUCUACCUUGAAGCUAGUUUGCAGGUACUCUAACAACAUAACCAAAAGCGCCCAGUAA